GAUUCUAGGAGGUGCUGCAGCAGGAGCUGACUCGGCCAUUUCCUGGCCUCUUUAGUUGGAAGAUGACAGAAAGGCGGAAGCAGGGACUGCUAUUGUGAGGCCCAUGGCAGCCUUCCUGUAAAACAAAUUGGCAAAUUGUCACCUUCAGAUGGACCACAGCUGGCCCUCUGAACAGCCCUCCUUGGCCUUUCCAGAGUGUACAUGAUUGUGUCCCAUGUCCAGGGAGAGGACAGAGCCACCAGGAGGGUCAAGGUCGUGGAGGGAAACAUGGCUUGUUUCCCAUUGCAACAAGGCCUCCCACUGCAAGACAGAGAGGAAGAGCUCUGCCACCCAUGUGUGUAAGGCCAUGUGGAUACCUCAUGACAUCCUGGAAGGCCACAGGGCUGUGGCCGCCAUUCAACUUAGGUUGACAUGGCCAAGACCAUAGAGCUAAUGAGUGGCAAUGUUGAGCCUAGACCCUAAGUCUCUAGAUUCCUCCUGCAGGGCGCUGGGUGUUGUGGGGGCGUCUCUGAGGUGGGUCAGAGUGAACCUGCA
Molecule: long non-coding RNA, 534 nt
Filed under: Homo sapiens (human)
Lineage: Eukaryota; Metazoa; Chordata; Mammalia; Primates; Hominidae
Description: HSALNT0299165
Source: RNAcentral